AUCACCUAUCAUAGCUGGAAGAGGAGUUCUUCUACUUCUAUUGUUGCUUCUACUACUACUACACCUCCUCUGACACCUCCUCCCCCACCUGCUAUUGCUACACCUCCUGUGGCAUCUCCUCCCACACCCACUGCUGCCAUUCCUCAUGUAGCACCUGCUCUCUUACCUGAUGAUGCCCCCGUUUGCUUAGCCGUCUGCUGCUUCCACAUCUACUCCCCAACUUGCUGGCGGCAUACCCCUUGAACGUGGCCCGUCAACUAUUGACUCCCCGAGGAUACAAUUACUGUCAAAGGGGGACUUAUUCAUUCCCCACAAACUUCCCGUUACCUGCAUCACAUAGAUUAUUAAGAGCAGGUAUGAUGAGCCUUAUCUGCCAUAGAAGCAUAUACAUAUAGCCGCUUGGGACUUGUGGUUCAGAGAGUUUGAGGUCCUUCACAUAACUCCCAUAGCACCACCAACAAAUCAGUUGAAUCAUCGAGAUUCAAGGCAGACAUAACCUUGUCGACAUGUUCACGACAGUCCGUCGGAGGGGCGAGUGGUCUGCUUGGAUUGGUGAGGUGCUCUUGGGUCAAUUGACCGUAGCUUGGGCCUCUCCUGGUUAUGAGAUGAAGAGGCAUAUGAAUCGGGCGAACAAGGCGAUAGAGUGGGCCAAAGGAGCUGAGUUUCAUAUUGGCGAAUCGGUCCCCAUACGAAGCACUACAGGAGGCUGGCCAAGGAGUUGAGUCAUGCUCCCUCGAUGGUGGAACUGCAUGUUCGAUCUCAUCGGCAUCCGAGGACUGUGCAUUGGGUUUCAGAGCAUUCCCGACGGGUUGCUGUCCAAACUUCGACCAGCAGCAGUAGUAGUCAGUCUGCCACUGCGCAGUUCGAGUAUGAGCUUUGGGCCUAGACGAUAAGGAGGAAGAAGGGAAGGGUGAAGGGAAUAAUCUUCGACACCGAGCUCUCCCGUGGUUCCAUUCUUAGCUCCCCUAGCUCCUCAUAGCCAGAUUAGGAGGCUCUUGCCAGGCAGGUGGUUGCAAUAAAUGAAGUAAUAUGCCAGUUGCGCGCGUAGAUGCUUGAAGGCUAACAUAGAGUCGAGGAUUCUAUAGCUCAUAUGACGGAGAUCUUAGCAGAUAGCCGGAACAAGUAACCGAUGAUAUCGUGUGGUAGGAGGAGGAGGAUGGAGAUAAAUAGUUUUUUUUUUAUGUUUUC
Long non-coding RNA from Phalaenopsis equestris, 1188 nucleotides. RefSeq lists it as uncharacterized. Lineage: Eukaryota; Viridiplantae; Streptophyta; Magnoliopsida; Asparagales; Orchidaceae. The transcript is spliced from 5 exons. The record is from RefSeq and is a predicted model, not a curated record.